This 319-nucleotide RNase P RNA is filed under the name Burkholderiales bacterium. Its description in RNAcentral is "partial RNase P RNA component class A". It matches the Rfam family "Bacterial RNase P class A". Rfam says of the family: Ribonuclease P (RNase P) is a ubiquitous endoribonuclease, found in archaea, bacteria and eukarya as well as chloroplasts and mitochondria. Its best characterised activity is the generation of mature 5'-ends of tRNAs by cleaving the 5'-leader elements of precursor-tRNAs. Cellular RNase Ps are ribonucleoproteins. The record is from RNAcentral. Lineage: Bacteria; Pseudomonadati; Pseudomonadota; Betaproteobacteria; Burkholderiales.
CCAGAUCGUCGCUGGUACAAGUCUCGAAAGGGCGUACUGGAGGAAGGUCCGGACUGCACAGGGCAGCGUAGGAGGUAACACCUCUCCACCGUAAGGUGAGGAUCAGAGCAACAGAGACGAGCCAAUUCAGUUUGGGUGAAACGGGCAAUCUCUACGCGCAGCAACACCAAAUAGGCACACGAUGACCUGGCCCGGGGAGUGUGCGGGUAGGUGGCAUUGAGCCGCUCUGGCGACAGGCGGCCCAGAGGAAUGACGGUCACGGUUCAGCGUCGCGAGACACGGGACUGCACAGAAUCCGGCCUAUCGGUUGACUUCACAA